UGGUUUUUCUUGACUCAGCUUGCGAG
This 26-nucleotide non-coding RNA is filed under the name Mus musculus (house mouse). The record is from RNAcentral. Lineage: Eukaryota; Metazoa; Chordata; Mammalia; Rodentia; Muridae.